UACGAAGGGUGCAAGCGUUGCUCGGAAUUACUGGGCGUAAAGCGUACGCAGGCGGUCCAUCAAGUCAGGCGUGAAAGUCCGGGGCUCAACUCCGGGAGGUCGUCUGAAACUAUUGGACUUGAAUCCGGGAGAGGGAUGUGGAAUUCCAGGUGUAGCGGUGAAAUGCGUAGAUAUCUGGAGGAACACCGGUGGCGAAGGCGACAUCCUGGACCGGUAUUGACGCUGAGGCGCGAAAGCCAGGGGAGCAAACGGG
RNAcentral lists this ribosomal RNA (253 nucleotides) under uncultured bacterium. RNAcentral's name for it is "partial 16S ribosomal RNA". It matches the Rfam family "Bacterial small subunit ribosomal RNA", at positions 524 to 776 of the family's 1533-position model. The record is from RNAcentral.